This 1018-nucleotide long non-coding RNA is filed under the name Equus asinus (donkey). Its description in RNAcentral is "lncRNA (ENSEASG00005029584.1)". The record is from RNAcentral. Lineage: Eukaryota; Metazoa; Chordata; Mammalia; Perissodactyla; Equidae.
CUCUCGCCACCAUGUGAGGACAGCAAGAAGGUAGCCACCUGCAAGCCAGGAAGAGGGUCCUCAUUAGAACUCAAUCUCAUUAGAACUCAACCACAUGGGCACCCUAACCUUGGACAUCUGCCUCCAGAAUGGAUCUGAGUCCCAAGUCAACAUUUACAAAGUCCCUACUGCCUGAAGGAGGGCAUGAGAAGGGAAGCCCACCUACUCUCCAUGCCCCAGAUGGAAAAACUGAGGCAGAGAGGAGCCAAGUAGCUGCCUGAGAUCUGCAAUUAGCAAGUGGUGGAGCCAGUUUCAAAUGUGUCAGUAUAAGACAAUGUUCCCAGAACUGACCAAGUCUUGAAUCAGAAACCAAAAAUAGAGAGGAUCAAGCUAUAAAACAGAGAAGACGUAAUAAAGACGGGGCGCGGAAAUACCACGUGAGCCCAUAAAUGCCAUUGUUUAAAGAGAGCGCUGACCUCAACAAAUUUCCUCCCGGGUGAGAUGACGGAGCUGGACGAGGGGCCUCGGACGACCCCGCCCGGCUCUCGCAUUCCUCGUCAAUUCAGCAGGAAUUCCUGGAGCAUCUCCCAGUGGGACCCAGCACUGUUGUUCAAGUUAGUUGCUGUUAACCAGUACAGUAACCAUGAACACCUCCAGGGAACAGAGCAAUGUUCGGCCUGGCGUACCCGCUUUGAAAAAACAGACACUAUCCUUGUUUCCCAGAGAUUUGCAGCAUGAAAAUAGAAAUCCUGUAAUCCACCGUCAUAAGGAUGAUAUAUAUCAUCAAACAGGAUUACAAAAGUGAAUCAAGGAGAAAGAGGGGAAUCAAAGGGCGUAUGAGUGGUCUGUGGAAAGUGUGGAGACAGUCAGGGUGAGCUUCCUGGAGGAGCUGGCCUUUGAGCUGUGAUGGAAGAGAAGAGAGCCACAAAAUCAGGGCUCCUCCCUAGCUCCCCAUUUCUUCUCCACAUUGUUUUCCUCCUAUAAAUACAAAUGCCCUAAACUCUGAUAAAGCGUAAGUAAUAAAGAGAAAGAAAAUAAA